GACAAACGCUGGCGGCGUGCCUAAUACAUGCAAGUCGAACGAGAGCGACCGGUGCUUGCACUGGUCAAUCUAGUGGCGAACGGGUGAGUAACACGUGGGUAACCUGCCCAUCAGAGGGGGAUAACAUCCGGAAACGGAUGCUAAAACCGCAUAGGUCUUCGAGCCGCAUGGCUUGAAGAGGAAAAGAGGCGCAAGCUUCUGCUGAUGGAUGGACCCGCGGUGCAUUAGCUAGUUGGUGAGGUAACGGCUCACCAAGGCCGUGAUGCAUAGCCGACCUGAGAGGGUGAUCGGCCACAUUGGGACUGAGACACGGCCCAAACUCCUACGGGAGGCAGCAGUAGGGAAUCUUCCGCAAUGGACGCAAGUCUGACGGAGCAACGCCGCGUGAGUGAAGAAGGUUUUCGGAUCGUAAAACUCUGUUGUUAGAGAAGAACAAGUGCUAGAGUAACUGUUAGCGCCUUGACGGUAUCUAACCAGAAAGCCACGGCUAACUACGUG
This 498-nucleotide ribosomal RNA is filed under the name uncultured bacterium. RNAcentral describes it as "partial 16S ribosomal RNA". It matches the Rfam family "Bacterial small subunit ribosomal RNA", at positions 28 to 507 of the family's 1533-position model. The record is from RNAcentral.